GAUGAACGCUGGCGGUGUGCCUAACACAUGCAAGUCGAGCGAUUCUCUUCGGGGAAGAGCGGCGGACGGGUGAGUAACGCGUGGGUAACCUGCCCUGUACACACGGAUAACAUACCGAAAGGUAUGCUAAUACGAGAUAAUAUGCUUUUAUCGCAUGGUAGAAGUGUCAAAGUUUUUGCGGUACAGGAUGGACCCGCGUCUGAUUAGCUAGUUGGUAAGGUAACGGCUUACCAAGGCGACGAUCAGUAGCCGACCUGAGAGGGUGAUCGGCCACAUUGGAACUGAGACACGGUCCAAACUCCUACGGGAGGCAGCAGUGGGGAAUAUUGCACAAUGGGCGAAGGCCUGAUGCAGCAACGCCGCGUGAGCGAUGAAGGCCUUCGGGUCGUAAAGCUCUGUCCUCAAGGAAGAUAAUGACGGUACUUGAGGAGGAAGCCCCGGCUAACUACGUGCCAGCCGCCGCAGUAA
RNAcentral lists this ribosomal RNA (468 nucleotides) under uncultured bacterium. RNAcentral describes it as "partial 16S ribosomal RNA". It matches the Rfam family "Bacterial small subunit ribosomal RNA", at positions 28 to 523 of the family's 1533-position model. The record is from RNAcentral.